RNAcentral lists this transfer RNA (75 nucleotides) under Candidatus Poribacteria bacterium. RNAcentral's name for it is "tRNA-Ala". It matches the Rfam family "tRNA". From Rfam's summary of the family: Transfer RNA (tRNA) molecules are approximately 80 nucleotides in length. Their secondary structure includes four short double-helical elements and three loops (D, anti-codon, and T loops). Further hydrogen bonds mediate the characteristic L-shaped molecular structure. tRNAs have two regions of fundamental functional importance: the anti-codon, which is responsible for specific mRNA codon recognition, and the 3' end, to which the tRNAs corresponding amino acid is attached (by aminoacyl-tRNA synthetases). tRNAs cope with the degeneracy of the genetic code in two manners: having more than one tRNA (with a specific anti-codon) for a particular amino acid; and 'wobble' base-pairing, i.e. permitting non-standard base-pairing at the 3rd anti-codon position. Lineage: Bacteria; Candidatus Poribacteria. The record is from RNAcentral. RNAcentral also lists the same sequence under 1 other name.
GGGGGAUUAGCUCAGCGGGAGAGCGCCUGCAUGGCAUGCAGGAGGUCACCGGUUCGAAUCCGGUAUCCUCCACCA